Molecule: ribosomal RNA, 1042 nt
Filed under: Cordyceps cicadae
Lineage: Eukaryota; Fungi; Ascomycota; Sordariomycetes; Hypocreales; Cordycipitaceae
Description: SSU rRNA
Rfam family: Eukaryotic small subunit ribosomal RNA
Source: RNAcentral
GUAUAAGCAAUUAUACAGCGAAACUGCGAAUGGCUCAUUAUAUAAGUUAUCGUUUAUUUGAUAGUACCUUACUACUUGGAUAACCGUGGUAAUUCUAGAGCUAAUACAUGCUAAAAAUCCCGACUUCGGAAGGGAUGUAUUUAUUAGAUUAAAAACCAAUGCCCUCUGGGCUCCUUGGUGAUUCAUGAUAACUCUUCGAAUCGCACGGCCUUGCGCCGGCGAUGGUUCAUUCAAAUUUCUUCCCUAUCAACUUUCGAUGUUUGGGUAUUGGCCAAACAUGGUUGCAACGGGUAACGGAGGGUUAGGGCUCGACCCCGGAGAAGGAGCCUGAGAAACGGCUACUACAUCCAAGGAAGGCAGCAGGCGCGCAAAUUACCCAAUCCCGAUUCGGGGAGGUAGUGACAAUAAAUACUGAUACAGGGCUCUUUUGGGUCUUGUAAUUGGAAUGAGUACAAUUUAAAUCUCUUAACGAGGAACAAUUGGAGGGCAAGUCUGGUGCCAGCAGCCGCGGUAAUUCCAGCUCCAAUAGCGUAUAUUAAAGUUGUUGUGGUUAAAAAGCUCGUAGUUGAACCUUGGGCCUGGCUGGCCGGUCCGCCUCACCGCGUGCACUGGUCCGGCCGGGCCUUUCCCUCUGUGGAACCCCAUGCCCUUCACUGGGCGUGGCGGGGAAACAGGACGUUUACUUUGAAAAAAUUAGAGUGCUCCAGGCAGGCCUAUGCUCGAAUACAUUAGCAUGGAAUAAUGAAAUAGGACGCGUGGUUCUAUUUUGUUGGUUUCUAGGACCGCCGUAAUGAUUAAUAGGGACAGUCGGGGGCAUCAGUAUUCAAUUGUCAGAGGUGAAAUUCUUGGAUUUAUUGAAGACUAACUACUGCGAAAGCAUUUGCCAAGGAUGUUUUCAUUAAUCAGGAACGAAAGUUAGGGGAUCGAAGACGAUCAGAUACCGUCGUAGUCUUAACCAUAAACUAUGCCGACUAGGGAUCGGACGAUGUUAUUUUUUGACGCGUUCGGCACCUUACGAGAAAUCAAAGUGCUUGGGCUCCAG